RNAcentral lists this ribosomal RNA (442 nucleotides) under uncultured bacterium. RNAcentral describes it as "partial 16S ribosomal RNA". It matches the Rfam family "Bacterial small subunit ribosomal RNA", at positions 338 to 795 of the family's 1533-position model. The record is from RNAcentral.
CCUACGGGCGGCAGUAGUAGGGAAUCUUUCACAAUGGGCGAAAGCCUGAUGGAGCAACGCCGCGUGCAGGAUGAAGGCCUUCGGGUUGUAAACUGCUUUUAUAAGCGAGAAAUAUGAUGGUAACUUAUGAAUAAGGAUCGGCUAACUACGUGCCAGCAGCCGCGGUCAUACGUAGGAUCCGAGCAUUAUCCGGAGUGACUGGGUGUAAAGAGUUGCGUAGGUGGCAUAAUAAGUAGCUAGUGAAAUCUGGUGGCUCAACCAUUCAGACUAUUAGCUAAACUGUUAAGCUCGAGACCGUUAGGGGUAACUGGAAUUUCUAGUGUAGGAGUGAAAUCCGUAGAUAUUAGAAGGAACACCAAUAGCGUAGGCAGGUUGCUGGGACGGUUCUGACACUAAGGCACGAAAGCGUAGGGAGCAAACGGGAUUAGAUACCCGAGUAGUC